This 253-nucleotide ribosomal RNA is filed under the name uncultured bacterium. RNAcentral's name for it is "partial 16S ribosomal RNA". It matches the Rfam family "Bacterial small subunit ribosomal RNA", at positions 524 to 776 of the family's 1533-position model. The record is from RNAcentral.
UACGGAGGGUGCAAGCGUUGUUCGGAAUUACUGGGCGUAAAGAGCGUGUAGGCGGCUUGGAAGGUCAGCUGUGAAAACUCGAGGCUCAACCUCGAGACGUCGGUUGAAACCACCUGGCUAGAGUCCGGAAGAGGAGAGUGGAAUUCCCGGUGUAGCGGUGAAAUGCGCAGAUAUCGGGAAGAACACCCGUGGCGAAGGCGGCUCUCUGGGACGGUACUGACGCUGAGACGCGAAAGCGUGGGGAGCGAACAGG